UACGAAGGGGGCUAGCGUUGCUCGGAAUCACUGGGCGUAAAGGGUGCGUAGGCGGGUCUUUAAGUCAGGGGUGAAAUCCUGGAGCUCAACUCCAGAACUGCCUUUGAUACUGAGGAUCUUGAGUUCGGGAGAGGUGAGUGGAACUGCGAGUGUAGAGGUGAAAUUCGUAGAUAUUCGCAAGAACACCAGUGGCGAAGGCGGCUCACUGGCCCGAUACUGACGCUGGGGUGCGAAAGCAUGGGGAGCGAACAGG
RNAcentral lists this ribosomal RNA (253 nucleotides) under uncultured bacterium. RNAcentral's name for it is "partial 16S ribosomal RNA". It matches the Rfam family "Bacterial small subunit ribosomal RNA", at positions 524 to 776 of the family's 1533-position model. The record is from RNAcentral.